GGUAAGAUGGCCGAGCGCCUUAGGCGGUGGGUUGUAGCCCCAUAGACAGAGGUUUAACUCCUCUUCUUAUCA
RNAcentral lists this transfer RNA (72 nucleotides) under Gymnothorax buroensis. RNAcentral's name for it is "tRNA-Tyr". It matches the Rfam family "tRNA". From Rfam's summary of the family: Transfer RNA (tRNA) molecules are approximately 80 nucleotides in length. Their secondary structure includes four short double-helical elements and three loops (D, anti-codon, and T loops). Lineage: Eukaryota; Metazoa; Chordata; Actinopteri; Anguilliformes; Muraenidae. The record is from RNAcentral.